RNAcentral lists this ribosomal RNA (502 nucleotides) under Bacillus thuringiensis. RNAcentral's name for it is "bacterial SSU rRNA". It matches the Rfam family "Bacterial small subunit ribosomal RNA", at positions 173 to 665 of the family's 1533-position model. Lineage: Bacteria; Bacillati; Bacillota; Bacilli; Caryophanales; Bacillaceae. The record is from RNAcentral.
AUUUUGAACUGCAUGGUUCGAAAUUGAAAGGCGGCUUCGGCUGUCACUUAUGGAUGGACCCGCGUCGCAUUAGCUAGUUGGUGAGGUAACGGCUCACCAAGGCAACGAUGCGUAGCCGACCUGAGAGGGUGAUCGGCCACACUGGGACUGAGACACGGCCCAGACUCCUACGGGAGGCAGCAGUAGGGAAUCUUCCGCAAUGGACGAAAGUCUGACGGAGCAACGCCGCGUGAGUGAUGAAGGCUUUCGGGUCGUAAAACUCUGUUGUUAGGGAAGAACAAGUGCUAGUUGAAUAAGCUGGCACCUUGACGGUACCUAACCAGAAAGCCACGGCUAACUACGUGCCAGCAGCCGCGGUAAUACGUAGGUGGCAAGCGUUAUCCGGAAUUAUUGGGCGUAAAGCGCGCGCAGGUGGUUUCUUAAGUCUGAUGUGAAAGCCCACGGCUCAACCGUGGAGGGUCAUUGGAAACUGGGAGACUUGAGUGCAGAAGAGGAAAGUGGA